CGAGCAGGCGGCCAGGAAAUGCCCAGGAGUGUGUGUCACCUGCCUCAGACGACUUGUUGAUUCCCAGGAGCACCGCCUUUUCGGCCUGGGUCCCCGGGAGGAUUGUCUGGCUCACCUGUCUCCCAGGCGCGGCCCCGGGGAGCUCCUGACACGGCCCGGGACAGCUCGCCCUCCAACUCCGCGGCCAUGAGCAAGUUGGGCAAGUUUUUUAAAGGGGGUGGCUCCUCUAAGAGCAGCGCUGCUCCCAGUCCCCAGGAGGCCCUGGCCCGACUGCGGGAGACUGAGGAGAUGUUGAGCAAGAAACAAGAGUACCUGGAAAAUCGAAUCCAGAGGGAACUCGCCCUGGCCAAGAAGCACGGCACGCCGAACAAGCGAGCUGCAUUACAGGCACUGAAGAGAAAGAAAAGGUUUGAGAAGCAACUCACUCAGAUUGAUGGCACACUUUCCACCAUUGAGUUCCAGAGAGAAGCCCUAGAAAACUCACACACUAACACCGAGGUAUUAAAGAACAUGGGCUUUGCAGCAAAGGCAAUGAGAACAGUUCAUGAAAGCAUGGAUCUGAACAAAAUAGACGAUCUGAUGCAAGAGAUCACAGAGCAACAGGAUAUCGCCCAAGAAAUCUCAGAAGCAUUUUCUCAACGGAUUGGACUUGGUAAUGACUUUGAUGAGGAUGAGUUGAUGGCAGAACUCGAAGAACUGGAGCAGGAGGAAUUAAAUAAGAAGAUGACAAAUAUUCGGCUUCCAAAUGUGCCUUCUUCAUCUCUCCCAGCACAGCCAGAGAGAAGGCUGAGGAGGCCCUCUCCUGCACACCGAUCCCGAGCAGCAUCUUCCAGGAGGGCAGAAGAAGAGGAUGAUGAUUUCAAACAAUUGGCAGCUUGGGCUACUUAAACUAUAAUGGAAUUUUUUGGCACCUAAAUUAAUGGGCUAUAUGUGGAAAUUACAUUUUCUGAAAUGAAAAAUACAGAACACAAUGGAUAUCAUUAACAGCAGAUUAGACACUCCCGAAGAUGAACAAACUUGAAGACAUAGCAACAGAAAUUGUCUGAAAUAAAACGUACAGAGAAAAAUAAAGACUGGACCAAAAGACGAGAAAGAGGCAGAGCAGGAGUGAGCCGUGAGACCAUAUUAAGCAGCCUAACAUAUCCUGUGAAAAGGAGGCAAAAACCUUCUCUAGAACCCGUUAUAUCCACGUUAAACUCAUAAUGUUACUUGGACUACUGUAUUUCUCUUCUGAAUGCUGGAGAUCUAUCCUGCGCUGAAUUUGGAAGAAAUCUCUGCAGAUUGAUAAACGAGGGAAAAGUUCUUCUUCUUGUUGGUUUGGCAAGUGGAAACGGCUCCUAAGUCAAGACUGAUUUGGUAAUAGAUGUCCUGAUCCACCCGUGGUGUGCAUCCCUGUACCUGUUAGUUCCUUGUCAUUUACCUGAGGCUACAACCCGCCCAUGGGGCAGCAAAUGGAUUGGCUCAGUCAACUCCCUCCCAAGUUCUAGCUCAAAGAAAAUGAAAAGCAUUCAGCUCAUUUGCAGCUGCUAACCCUGAAAAGCAAGAGCCACGAUCCUUCUUUAGGAACCUGUACUGGAAAUGAAUGUGGAUUCUGGGGCCAGCAGUGGAGAGUUGAGAGGAUAGAGACCUUUUUUGAGGGGUAUAAUUUCUUCAAAAGAGGAUGUAAGAUUUUGUCUUUCCUUAUAUUCUUCCUAUGUCUGAUGGUGUUUUCAUGCUAAAUAGAUAUUUUAUUCUGCAGAUUCAUCUUUUAACUCCCAGUUUUACCCCUCCUUUUUCAGGGUCUGUGGCACAGUCAUAACACUUAAGGAGAUAGAGUUUAUUCCAGUGGGAUCAGGGUGAGUCUUCAUUCAGAUGUUGUGGGGCCAGUGAGUGCAUGAAAGACAUUGGAUGGGUAGCAGUUCUCACUGCAGGGAGGUGGGUAUGAUGCCUGCACUUACCUCAGGAUGGAUGGAGGUUGUUAAGCCUUGGCUGAUGGCAUUAAAAUGCACCUCACAGCCCUUCUUUAGCAAUCUCUUUCAUCAGCCUGAACCUGAGAGGUAGAACUGAAACCUGGACUCAAGGACAAGAUUGAGAACUUUCCCUCCACUGGCUCUGGUAAAAGUAUAAUUCACAGAUAAUGGUUAUGACCUGUCAUCCCUGAAAUCUUUACAGAUUUAACCAAAUGCAGGAAACAUUUGUAUGAAAUAAAGUAGUAUUAGGCUGGGAGCCAAAGAACCUUGUUUUUCAUAAUGCUCUAUCAUUCACUCCCUGUGUUCAUGUGACCUUUGUGUUUUGUGAUUUCAUCUAUAAGAUGAAGGCCGUGGAACAGAAGACUUGGCAAGAUCCUGAGGCAUAAAUGUUCUAGGGUUUGA
Nycticebus coucang (slow loris) is the source of this 2351-nucleotide RNA transcript. It is a transcript of the gene named charged multivesicular body protein 4C, with no coding region annotated. The transcript is spliced from 7 exons. Lineage: Eukaryota; Metazoa; Chordata; Mammalia; Primates; Lorisidae. The record is from RefSeq and is a predicted model, not a curated record.